CAAUAGCGUAUAUUAAAGUUGUUGCAGUUAAAAAGCUCGUAGUUGUAACUUGGGCCUGGCUGGCGGGUCCGCCUCACCGCGUGCACUCGUCCGGCCGGGCCUUCCUUCUGAAGAACCUCAUGCCCUUCACUGGGCGUGCUGGGGAAUCAGGACUUUUACUUUGAAAAAAUUAGAGUGUUCAAAGCAGGCCUUUGCUCGAAUACGUUAGCAUGGAAUAAUAAAAUAGGGCGUGCGUUUCUAUUUUGUUGGUUUCUAGAGACGCCGCAAUGAUUAACAGGAACAGUCGGGGGCAUCAGUACUCAGUUGUCAGAGGUGAAAUUCUUGGAUUUACUGAAGACUAACUACUGCGAAAGCAUUUGCCAAGGAUGUUUUCAUUA
RNAcentral lists this ribosomal RNA (377 nucleotides) under uncultured eukaryote. RNAcentral's name for it is "partial 18S ribosomal RNA". It matches the Rfam family "Eukaryotic small subunit ribosomal RNA", at positions 592 to 975 of the family's 1831-position model. The record is from RNAcentral.